CCGAGGAGGAACGCAACGGGCUUUGCCCGUUUCGGAAUGCGUUCCUCCGACGUGCCCCAGAGCGAACGCGAAAGGGUGAUACCCGCG
This 87-nucleotide small RNA is filed under the name unclassified sequences. RNAcentral's name for it is "GA-cis RNA". It matches the Rfam family "GA-cis RNA". The record is from Rfam by way of RNAcentral.